AAUCAAAUCACACGGCAACUACACCUAGAGGUUCAUCUUCAGUUUUGAUGGGUUGUCACUACAUACUACUAGGUGUCACUAGUGGAUUGUGAGACCAAUUAGAAUUAUUUCAAUGAUCAAUAAUUCUAACUGACUGAAUUAAAAAGAGUUCUGAUCCAUCGAAAAGAGUUUUGAUAAGGUUGAUGAUAGAGAUCACAGCAUAUCUCAUUACCAUGC
Molecule: long non-coding RNA, 216 nt
Filed under: Elaeis guineensis (African oil palm)
Lineage: Eukaryota; Viridiplantae; Streptophyta; Magnoliopsida; Arecales; Arecaceae
Description: long non-coding RNA (EGUI_LNC044464)
Source: RNAcentral